ACUUACCCAAUAAAGAGUCGAGCCUGCCCAGUGAUAAUAUUUAACGGCCGCGGUACUCUGACCGUGCAAAGGUAGCAUAAUCAUUUGCCCUAUAAUUGAGGGCUUGUAUGAAUGGUUUGACAAGAGCAAAACUGUCUCUCUAGAGUUUUUUAGAAUUUGGUUUUUGGGUGAAGAAACCCAAAUUUCAUUGAAAGACAAGAAGACCCUAUCGAGCUUAAAACAAAUUUAUCAAGAAGUGUGUUUAUAAUCAAUCAAUUUUGAUAAAAAAUUUUGGUUGGGGCGACUAAGGAACAAAAAAAGCUUCUUUUAUUCAAAGAUACUGAUAAGUUUUGAUCCGGAAAUUCUGAUUAAAAGAAUUAGUUACCGUAGGGAUAACAGCAUAAUCUUUUUUAAGAGCUCUUAUCGAAAGAAAGGUUUGUGACCUCGAUGUUGGACUAGGAUACCCCAAUAGAUGCAGAAGUC
This 462-nucleotide ribosomal RNA is filed under the name Coxiella striatula. Its description in RNAcentral is "partial large subunit ribosomal RNA". It matches the Rfam family "Bacterial large subunit ribosomal RNA", at positions 1836 to 2563 of the family's 2925-position model. The record is from RNAcentral. Lineage: Eukaryota; Metazoa; Mollusca; Gastropoda; Littorinimorpha; Pomatiopsidae.